GACGAACGCUGGCGGCGUGCUUAACACAUGCAAGUCGAACGGAAAGGCCCUGCUUGCAGGGUACUCGAGUGGCGAACGGGCGAGUAACACGUGGGUGAUCUGCCCUGCACUUCGGGAUAAGCCUGGGAAACUGGGUCUAAUACCGGAUAGGAGCCAUUUUUAGUGUGAUGGUUGGAAAGUUUUUUCGGUGUAGGAUGAGCUCGCGGCCUAUCAGCUUGUUGGUGGGGUAAUGGCCUACCAAGGCGGCGACGGGUAGCCGGCCUGAGAGGGUGGACGGCCACAUUGGGCCGGAGAUCCGGCCCAGCCCCCUCCGGGGGGCAGCAGGGGGGAAUAUUGCCCAAGGGGCGCAGGCCUGAUGCAGGGCCGCCGCGGGGGGGAUGCCGCCCUUGGGGUUGUAACCUCCUUUCGCUAGGGACAAAGCUUUUUGUGACGUUACCUAGAUAAGAAGCCCCGCCUACCUACGUG
RNAcentral lists this ribosomal RNA (465 nucleotides) under uncultured bacterium. RNAcentral's name for it is "partial 16S ribosomal RNA". It matches the Rfam family "Bacterial small subunit ribosomal RNA", at positions 28 to 507 of the family's 1533-position model. The record is from RNAcentral.